UCGUAGUUUCUCACUUUGCCCCCCUGUGGUUUAAAGUGUAUCAAUUUGCCCCCUGUGGUUUCGUUUUUAUCUUUUCGGUAACUUUUUCGUUAAUAUUUUAUUAAAUUAUAUAUAAAAAAAAACUUCAGAUACUCAUCUAGAUUUAUCAAAUAUUCACUUUAGUACCCUUUAAUUUUAAUCUUAUCACUGAUUUAAGAAAAAAAAUAAUGAAAUUGAUAAGAAAAAGAGAAAAAAAAAACCACAGGGGGGCAAAUUGAUACAUUUUAAACCACAGGGGGACAAAGUGAGAAACUACUAAACCACAGUGGGGUUUUUUGAAGUUUUUCCUAAAAGAAAAAACAAAACAAAAGAAACU
Molecule: long non-coding RNA, 355 nt
Filed under: Ananas comosus (pineapple)
Lineage: Eukaryota; Viridiplantae; Streptophyta; Magnoliopsida; Poales; Bromeliaceae
Description: long non-coding RNA (ACOM_LNC041680)
Source: RNAcentral